Contarinia nasturtii (swede midge) is the source of this 2850-nucleotide RNA transcript. RefSeq lists it as uncharacterized. Lineage: Eukaryota; Metazoa; Arthropoda; Insecta; Diptera; Cecidomyiidae. The transcript has 6 exons. The record is from RefSeq and is a predicted model, not a curated record.
UUUAUAUGGCUUUGUUGUGUGAAUUUGACUGUGUAUUAACUUCGAAUUUGAUGCCAUUGGAUUUUUGACUGUCAGAAUAUUGCGAAUCGAAUUCAGUUUAGCGAAAAAUCCUCACAAGACUGCAAAAUGGGUCGCCACAAGGCAGCAGAUCCAAACGCCGACCAAAGGUGUAUAAAGCAAGGACUGCCAUCAAUUAUCCGAGAACGAUAUCGCGAUGUUAUUAUCGCGAUCAUUUCUAUUCUGUCUAUCAAAGCAACGAAAAUUGCGUGCCUGGCAUCAUUACUCUUUCUCAUGAAAGUGAAUGAAGCUGUUGAUCACUUUGAUGAUGAAUUUUUUGUAUGGGAUGAUGGAUCCAGCAUGAUUAAACGUUGUUUUAAGGCAGUACUACGUGACAACAUCGGCAAAGUCUUUCUUAUGCUACCGGAUUUUCGACAGUUGGUAGACGCUGCUAGAAUCGAUUGGCCCACCAAUGGUGGAUUUGGUAAUAGUUUCAAGUACUUGUAUGAACAAUACGAAGACAACGUUCGAACAAACUUGAAAACGCAUUGCGAAUCCCGUUUAAGAAAAUUUUUCAAGCUAAAGACAUUCCAGCUCAAUGACAAUGCAAUUCGGUAUAACUACUUUAACAACUUGUACGGCUCGCCCAAUGAAUUGCCAUAUUACGAUGAAACUGACAUCAAAAAUGCCGUUAACUACGCAUAUCAUCGGAAAGACAACACGAGUGACGAUGUUGAGCGACAGCUUCGAUUGGGCGAGUUGUUGGAUGAGCUACGUUGGUUAGGUGCACCAGAAGAUUGCAACAUUAAAGAAUAUGUCAGCGAAAAUUGGUUCCAUUCGAUUCGUAUGUGGAUACAUAUUCAACGUGAAAUCCAAUGGUAUCACAAUGAGUACAAAUGUCGUCGUGAUGCACCACAAAUUAAAAAUUUUGUCGUUGUACCAAUGUGCAGUUUCCAACGUCGUCACAUUCGCAUCGAUACCGACGCAUUGUACACCAUCCUAGCCAGUGUAAAAUUGGUGCCAUUGAAGUGCGGUUUGAAAAAACGCAAAGAUAAAACGACCAAUUCGAUCAACAUAACGAGCAACGAAUUCCGCAGAAAUAAAAUCUUAAGUUGGAAUCUGUUUUUCAAUGUGGAAAAAGUUCAACAACUGGUACAUUUCAAAAAGUAUUUCGAUUUCCAAAUUUGUUCGGACGGUGUGUCUGUUUCGAUGAUGUACAAAAAGCCAAAAUUACCACCACUCGAAAUAAGUGAUGCUGAAAUCAUGAAAAUGUACAAAGGGAACAAAUUGAAGUAUGCUAUUGGCUGUGACCCGGGCAUGAAAACCUGGAACGCUUCAGUGCGUCGUGAUUUGGAUACCAAAGAAGAGGUGAAUUUGCGCAUAUCCAGCAAACGGUAUCACUGGGAUGCGAAACAAGGCCGACGUAAUGCAAAAGCCGAACGAAUCACCCGAUUAUUUACAUACGACGAGAAAGCUGAUCGCAAUCGAGUUGCAGCGACUCUGGGUACAAUGCCAUCGCCAAGAGAAACAUCAUGGCGCUCGUAUAUUGAACAUCGACUACGAGUUAUGAAUGAUGGCAUUGAAACGUACACGUGUAAGCAAUAUGCACGCUUGGGAUUGGACAAGCAUAUCGACUCGGUUCGUGCGAUCGACAAAACGGCUUGCAAACUGACACGCAAUCAACCAUCAAUUUUCUACAUGGGAGCCAGUGGAUCCACACCAGCCAACUCACCGAUCAAAAUCAAAAAACACGUGCGAUGCCCAGGCACUCGCAAACUGAUUGCAGCCAUAAUGAAACGUGGAAAUUGUAUCGUUCGGAUGGUCGAUGAGUAUAUGACAUCACAACAUUGCCCAUUGUGUUUCAAGCGAUUUCCACAAGAAACUCGACGUGAUCGAUACAAGAAAUGUGUGGGUUGUGUACCAAAUCCAAUUGUUGGACUACCACGAACCAUCGUAACCAAUGUGAGCAAACGAUUACUACAAAUGCGACGAACAAUUGAACGAAUGUGGCGCGAGAUGCGUGAUAUAGGCGAUGUCAUUGCUGCAACUCUUCGAGAUGGACCGAAUGCAGGUCGUUUGGUGUCAAAGAAGCAACGCUUCUUCAAAACAUGGCUACCAAAUGUUGCAAACGUUGAAAUCGAGGGAGCUGCCGGAGCACAACCAACGCUCACAACUGUAUGGCACCGUGAUAUCGCAGCAGCGAAGCUGAUCCUCUACAAAGGUGAAUGCGUGGUGUUCAAGCGGACAAUUCAUCCAAAUGUACGGAGACCACGCCGUGUUGACAACAAUCAGCCAUUGCCGUUGUAUCGAGGUCAGAAUCAGAAUGUCAACAAUGGACAUCUGCAGCCGCAGUAGUAGCAGCCCUCAUUCAACAACAUUCAAACAAUACUAAAUUUAGAAAUUAGUUUAUAACAAUUAUUUGUUAGUUCGCUAGGCUUGAUUAAAUUGUGGCCUUGCCAAAGUACGAGUACCUCUUGGUAUAAAUUGUACUCGUAUGAAAUGAAAAUAUACCGUAGCCCAUCUACUAACAUUGUAUAUCAUCAUAAACAUGAAGCACUAAUAGUUUCAAAGUGUAAAGUGUACGAUUUCAAUUGAUAAAUAAUCAUCACUUUAGUAUUGUAAUUUACCAUUACGUCACAAUUUUAAUGGAAUAUUGUUUCGAAGUAAUUGUUCAAGGCCAUAUUUAUGACGCAACGAAUAUAAUUUUGUGCUGCGAACGAAUGCAAAACAGAAGCCGGUUAAUAUCGUAUUGGCCAUAUGUAUGCAUUAACAAGACUUACAUUGUCUCUUUCUUGAGUUGAUGCGAAAACUGGAAUUAAAAUACAUAUUCACAUAAUAAAAUACCGUAUAAUA